AGUCUGACUGUAGAGUCAAUGAGAAACACAAUAUAAAGAAACCGGGAGGGCGCAGUAAAACCAAGAUGAUCCUCUUAAUCCUGAUUCUGAUUUGUUCCUGUAAUAUAGCUUCAGGAGGCUCACUAGGUAAAGUCCACCAGACUCCAGCCGUGAUGUACGGACGCUCCAACGGGACGGCAGAGCUCAGCUGCUUGCACACGUUCGGCAGCUACAACCAGAUCCUCUGGUACAAGCGAGUGGAGAGUGGACAGCUGCAGCUGCUGGGAUAUAUGAUGAGAAACAGUCCAUCUCCAGAGCCCGGUGUCACAGUGAAGAUGGGGGGGAACGCAGAAACGAAUGAAAACUGCACGUUAACCAUUGAGGAGCUCGGGCGCGACAGCAGUGCAGUUUACUUCUGUGCUGCUACUCUACACUGUGCUAUGUAUCGCUGUUCCUCAGCACAAAAACCUCCCUUUCACUUACUUUACACGUUCUUAAUACAGCCUUGCACCUGCUCUUACUGUUUCUGA
Mugil cephalus (flathead mullet) is the source of this 509-nucleotide non-coding RNA. The record is from the annotation of a RefSeq genome assembly. NCBI's taxonomy places the organism in Eukaryota, Metazoa, Chordata, Actinopteri, Mugiliformes, Mugilidae.